CGUAGGGAGCGAGCGUUGUCCGGAUUUAUUGGGCGCAAAGAGCUCGUAGGCGGUUUGGUAAGUCGGGUGUGAAAGCUCCGGGCUCAACUCGGAGAGGUCACUCGAUACUGCCAUGACUUGAGUCCGGUAGGGGGUGUGGAAUUCCCAGUGUAGCGGUGAAAUGCGCAGAUAUUGGGAGGAACACCAAUGGCGAAGGCAGCACCCUGGGCCGGUACUGACGCUGAGGAGCGAAAGCGUGGGGGAGCAAACAGGAUU
RNAcentral lists this ribosomal RNA (255 nucleotides) under uncultured bacterium. Its description in RNAcentral is "partial 16S ribosomal RNA". It matches the Rfam family "Bacterial small subunit ribosomal RNA", at positions 526 to 779 of the family's 1533-position model. The record is from RNAcentral.